RNAcentral lists this transfer RNA (67 nucleotides) under Lanius collurio (red-backed shrike). RNAcentral describes it as "tRNA-Cys". The record is from RNAcentral. Lineage: Eukaryota; Metazoa; Chordata; Aves; Passeriformes; Laniidae.
AGGCUCCGACGCACAAUUAAUGCGUAUCAAUGAGCUUGCAACUCACCAUGAACUUCACCACAGAGCC